GAUGAACGCUGGCGGCGUGCCUAAUACAUGCAAGUCGAGCGAACAGAUGAGGAGCUUGCUCCUCUGACGUUAGCGGCGGACGGGUGAGUAACACGUGGAUAACCUACCUCUAAGACUGGGAUAACUUCGGGAAACCGGAGCUACUACCGGAUAAUAUAUUGAACCUCAUGGUUCAAUAGUGAAAGACGGUUUUGCUGUCACUUAUAGAUGGAUCCGCGCCGCAUUAGCUAGUUGGUAAGGUAACGGCUUACCAAGGCAACGAUGCGUAGCCGACCUGAGAGGGUGAUCGGCCACAAUGGAACUGAGACACGGUCCAGACUCCUACGGGAGGCAGCAGUAGGGAAUCUUCCGCAAUGGGCGAAAGACUGACGGAGCAACGACGCGUGAGUGAUGAAGGUCUUCGGAUCGUAAAACUCUGUUAUUAGGGAAGAACAAAUGUGUAAGUAACUAUGCACGUCUUGACGGUACCUAAUCAGAAAGCCACGGCUAACUACGUG
This 497-nucleotide ribosomal RNA is filed under the name uncultured bacterium. Its description in RNAcentral is "partial 16S ribosomal RNA". It matches the Rfam family "Bacterial small subunit ribosomal RNA", at positions 28 to 507 of the family's 1533-position model. The record is from RNAcentral.